Long non-coding RNA from Pyrus x bretschneideri (Chinese white pear), 2680 nucleotides. RefSeq lists it as uncharacterized. The transcript has 4 exons. Lineage: Eukaryota; Viridiplantae; Streptophyta; Magnoliopsida; Rosales; Rosaceae. The record is from RefSeq and is a predicted model, not a curated record.
AACCAUGUUUUUCACGGUGGAUCACCUUCUUUGAUUGGUGGAGCAUGAGUUAUAGCAGGGGGAGAGAAAGGGUUAAUUGGUAUUCUUCCUGUUCAAGAUGCUGCCGAGGCAGCAACAGUGGACUCUGUGUUGUCUCUAGGUGAUUUUUGCUUAUUUCUCCAUUUGUUACGGAUGAGUGGAUGCCUAUGAUUACGUGAAAGUGAAAUCUAAGAGGUUUUUUUAUUGUUAUUGUUGGGAUUUUGCCUAAUUUUAGGAAUGGGAAGUGAUUCUGGUGAACGAAGCUCUAGAGUUCAAGUUUGUACUCAUCUCUCAUUCUUCUUCUCUCUCCUUCUCUACUGGAAAAUCCAGUCUUUCAUCUUCCUCGGCUCUUCCUUUCUCUCCGCUCCCCGUAUCUCUCUCCUUGGAGCCUACAAACCAAGUCGUGACGGUCGACAAGCUUCAAACAUGCUGGACGCGUACUGGAGAAGGGACAGUUCUGUCCGUUGCGGAGACGGGGGAGUAUGGGGGUAGGGAAGAGGAUUUUCGGCAGGGAGAUAUGGGUUUAGGGAGAAAGAGUAAGGGAGAAGUAUGGGGUAGGCUGAUUUCCAGGGAUUUCCUUUCACCCCUUCACUCACCACGAACCCAUCUUUCUCUUCGUUUCUCCCACCCUCAAAUCUUCCGUUUUCCCUCUCUCAAAAUACCCACCAAGGAAACCCUGCUUUUGGUUUAUUUUGGGAUUUUGUUUGUGCUCUCGAUUUUCAGACGAGGGGCCCAUUGGUUGAGAUUUGGAUUUCUCCCCUUUUUGUCGAAGCGCACAAAUUGUGUUUCAGUGGGAUCGGUCUCGAAUAGCUGCGUGCGUCUACUCUUUUCAAGGAAACAAUGCUUUUUGCUUUCUAGAACCGUUUGGAGAGUGCACGACUUGAGGAUCUCAGGCCCAAGGUAAAAGUGUAGUUCUUGGGUACACACACAUUUAUCCAAUAAAUAAGUUCAAGACAUUGUUUUCAGGGGAAAGACAGAAGUCUCAGGCAGCGGUCUCUCUGUAAUCAUCGCCGGGAAAAUAUCAUGGUCAUUUUGAGUUCAAAUUUAGACAACAUGUGGUCUGUGCAAUAUAUCCAUAUAUGGAUCAAUGCUAUGGACUAUUCUCAACCUAUGGACCUCAAAUUUCAGUGCGUCUUCCAUCAUUUCUCCUACCUCACUGUAUGUAGCUAUUACAUUUGCAAUCAUAUUAAUUCAUUGAAAAAAAUAUUUAUAUUUCUCUAUAAAAUAUACUAUCAUUUCCUUGUUGGUACAUUAAAAUGGAAAUAUGAAAGGUAGAACCGAUCAUCGCUGGGCUCUCUCUUUCCACUGUGUUGUUUGCUUUACCUAUCAUUUUUACUUUUCUGUUUCGCAGCUCUCUGACAAAUAUCUUAUUAUGCCGCUCUCGAUCUCGCCCGAGGGUGGUGCAAGUCGAUUCGAUGCUACGAGGCACUUUGUUUAGGGCUAUUUGAGAGAGAGAGGUGUUGGGUGUUUGAGGCAAGGGGUUUCAGGGAUUAGGUUUGGGUGGGGUUUCAAGGAUUAGAUUUUGGUGGUAUUUGAAUAAUUAGGUUUGGGUUUUUGUUUAUGCAAUUGGCAGAGAUGGGGGGUCCAAGAUAGGAUUAGGAGAUUUGAUUUAGGGUUUGCAAUGUUGGAUUUAUUCCGAUCUAAAUCACCCUUAAAUAGUCUACAACAUAUAAUAGGAAUGUAAUAUUGGAGAUUAAUGUAGAUAUUGUGAUUUGAUUUCCUAAAUAUAUCAAUCUUAUAUUAGGUGUCUUGUAAUACAAGUAAGAUUGAUGGAGUCCUUGAUUUUAUGUGAUUAUGACAACUAACUGAUACGCUAAAAAAGUGGGAUUUGGGAUUCUUUUAUGGAUGGAACCUUAAUGCCUAAGCCAAUAUAAAUACUAAGGUCCCUGCAAACCCUAGAUACACAACAAACGCUUCCCAUAAAGUAGUUGUUUCUGGCUAGGUGCUUUGUAGAAGACUUUGGUGUUGCCGCAUCCUACAUCAUCUCUGCUUGGUAUUCAAUGGCUAUUGCUUCACGAUCAGGUCAAUCAACUCCUUGUUUGUGUUUUAAUUAUAUAACCACAUAAAGUUUACAUGUGGUAUCAGAGCCUCUGGUUAUAUAAAUAAAACCGAUUAGGUUUAAUAUUGGAUUACAUAAUAUUCUCAUGAACUGCGUGUGUUUAAUCCAAUUUGUGAUUGCAUAUGCUUGGCAACACCACCACGCCGGACCUCCUUGAAAACGGGAUCAGUUUGUUCCGCAUAUAAUUGCAUAUACUUGGCAUAUUAAUAUGAUAUGUACAGCACAUAUUUUUCACCAGUUCCUAUUUGGUCUUAGAGACCGAAAUUAUUAGUUAAAUAAAACGAUUACAUAAUUGGAUAAUCUGUUUCUGCGAGUAGUGUCUCUUGAGUUCAAGUUUUGCUUCCACCGCCACCAUCCUUCAAACCCAAACGUGGGCCUUUAUUUUAAUUGAAGCGAUUAAUGAUGAUAUUGAAUUAACUAUAAUAAAGAAAGAUUGAAAUAGUUAGUUCAUUAUUUUAUUGAAUUAGUUUUAAUUGGAAGACCUGGUACUUUAGGCUUCCUAUUUCAAUGUUCAUGUUAAUGUUUUGGUUCAAUUGAAAUAAUCAUGUGUUCUAACUUUGCACUGGAGAAUUUUUGAGAUGAUCAGUGAGCCCAAUGAGGAGG